This 429-nucleotide ribosomal RNA is filed under the name uncultured eukaryote. RNAcentral describes it as "SSU rRNA". It matches the Rfam family "Eukaryotic small subunit ribosomal RNA", at positions 592 to 1018 of the family's 1831-position model. The record is from RNAcentral.
CAGUAGCGUAUAUUAAAGUUGUUGCAGUUAAAAAGCUCGUAGUUGGAUUUCUGGCUUGAGACGCCUGAGCCGCCAGGGUUACCUGUGUGAGUCUCGGUGUGUCUCUGCCAUCCUUCUGGAUAGCGUGUCUACCUUUUAUUAGGCCGGGCUCGUGCUCCAGAUCUUUUACUUUGAAAAAUUAGAGUGUUUAAAGCAAGCUUGCGCUAUGAAUACAUUAGCAUGGAAUAAUAACUUAGGACUUUGGUUCUAUUUUGUUGGUUUCUAGGACUGAAGUAAUGAUUGAUAGGGAUAGUUGGGGGUGCUAGUAUUCAGCGGCCAGAGGUGAAAUUCUUGGAUUCGCUGAAGACUAACUUAUGCGAAAGCAUUCACCAAGGAUGUCUUCUUUAAUCAAGAACGAAAGUUGGGGGAUCGAAGACGAUCAGAUACCGU